This 398-nucleotide ribosomal RNA is filed under the name uncultured Gammaproteobacteria bacterium. RNAcentral's name for it is "bacterial SSU rRNA". It matches the Rfam family "Bacterial small subunit ribosomal RNA", at positions 97 to 489 of the family's 1533-position model. Lineage: Bacteria; Pseudomonadati; Pseudomonadota; Gammaproteobacteria. The record is from RNAcentral.
GGCGGACGGGUGAGUAAUGUCUGGGAAACUGCCUGAUGGAGGGGGAUAACUACUGGAAACGGUAGCUAAUACCGCAUAACGUCGCAAGACCAAAGAGGGGGACCUUCGGGCCUCUUGCCAUCAGAUGUGCCCCGAUGGGAUUAGCUAGUAGGUGGGGUAAUGGCUCACCUAGGCGACGAUCCCUAGCUGGUCUGAGAGGAUGACCAGCCACACUGGAACUGAGACACGGUCCAGACUCCUACGGGAGGCAGCAGUGGGGAAUAUUGCACAAUGGGCGCAAAGCCUGAUGCAGCCAUGCCGCGUGUAUGAAGAAGGCCUUCGGGUUGUAAAGUACUUUCAGCGAGGAGGAAGGCAUUGUGGUUAAUAACCACAGGUGAUUGACGUUACUCGCAGAAAAA